Molecule: ribosomal RNA, 406 nt
Filed under: uncultured bacterium
Lineage: Bacteria
Description: partial 16S ribosomal RNA
Rfam family: Bacterial small subunit ribosomal RNA
Source: RNAcentral
AUUGAACGCUGGCGGCAGGCCUAACACAUGCAAGUCGAGCGAGCGGCGGACGGGUGAGUAAUGUAUGGGAAACUGCCUGAUGGAGGGGGAUAAAUACUGGAAACGGUAGCUAAUACCGCAUACCAUCAGAUGAACCCAGAUGGGAUUAGCUUGUAGGUGGGGUAAAGGCUCACCUAGGCGACGAUCCCUAGCUGGUCUGAGAGGAUGACCAGCCACACUGGGACUGAGACACGGCCCAGACUCCUACGGGAGGCAGCAGUGGGGAAUAUUGCACAAUGGGCGCAAGCCUGAUGCAGCCAUGCCGCGUGUAUGAAGAAGGCCUUCGGGUUGUAAAGUACUUUCAGUCGGGAGGCGUUACCGGCAGAAGAAGCACCGGCUAACUCCGUGCCAGCAGCCGCGGUAAUUC